RNAcentral lists this small RNA (126 nucleotides) under Marmota monax (woodchuck). Lineage: Eukaryota; Metazoa; Chordata; Mammalia; Rodentia; Sciuridae. The record is from RNAcentral.
GCCGGGUGUGGUUGGUGCAGGCCUGUAAUCCCCACAGCUCGGGAGGCUGAGACAGGAGAAUCUCUCGUUCAAAGCCAGUCUUAACAACAGCGAGGCGCUAAACAGAUCAGAGAGACCCUGUCUCUA